AACUAAACCUGACAGCAGCGAAAAUCAUUUUUGCUGGCAGUAACCCACCAACCACGCUCGUCUGCAUCCGAUAGAAACAGGUACCUUCACAAAAGCAGUACCUUAACCACAAAAAGAUUGAAGCGGAUGGCAGGGCUGAAG
Molecule: small RNA, 141 nt
Filed under: Pedobacter suwonensis
Lineage: Bacteria; Pseudomonadati; Bacteroidota; Sphingobacteriia; Sphingobacteriales; Sphingobacteriaceae
Description: Flavo-1 RNA
Rfam family: Flavo-1 RNA
Source: RNAcentral